GAUGAACGCUGGCGGCGUGCUUAACACAUGCAAGUCGAACGAUGAACCCGGAGCUUGCUCUGGGGGAUUAGUGGCGAACGGGUGAGUAACACGUGAGUAACCUGCCCUGGACUCUGGGAUAAGCGUUGGAAACGACGUCUAAUACCGGAUAGGACCUUGGAUCGCAUGAUCUGGGGUGGAAAGUUUUUUCGGUCUGGGAUGGACUCGCGGCCUAUCAGCUUGUUGGUGAGGUAAUGGCUCACCAAGGCGUCGACGGGUAGCCGGCCUGAGAGGGUGACCGGCCACACUGGGACUGAGACACGGCCCAGACUCCUACGGGAGGCAGCAGUGGGGAAUAUUGCACAAUGGGCGAAAGCCUGAUGCAGCAACGCCGCGUGCGGGAUGACGGCCUUCGGGUUGUAAACCGCUUUUAGUAGGGAAGAAGGGCUUCGGCUUGACGGUACCUGCAGAAAAAGGACCGGCUAACUACGUG
RNAcentral lists this ribosomal RNA (472 nucleotides) under uncultured bacterium. RNAcentral describes it as "partial 16S ribosomal RNA". It matches the Rfam family "Bacterial small subunit ribosomal RNA", at positions 28 to 507 of the family's 1533-position model. The record is from RNAcentral.